RNAcentral lists this ribosomal RNA (253 nucleotides) under uncultured bacterium. Its description in RNAcentral is "partial 16S ribosomal RNA". It matches the Rfam family "Bacterial small subunit ribosomal RNA", at positions 524 to 776 of the family's 1533-position model. The record is from RNAcentral.
UACGGGGGGGGCAAGCGUUGUUCGGAAUUACUGGGCGUAAAGGGCUCGUAGGCGGCCAACUAAGUCGGAUGUGAAAUCCCCAGGCUUAACCUGGGAACUGCAUCCGAUACUGGAUGGCUUGAAUCCGGGAGAGGGAUGCAGAAUUCCAGGUGUAGCGGUGAAAUGCGUAGAUAUCGGGAGGAACACCAGUGGCGAAGGCGGCGACCUGGGCCAAUAUUGACGCUGAGGUGCGAAAGCGUGGGGAGCAAACAGG